RNAcentral lists this unclassified non-coding RNA (1540 nucleotides) under Hevea brasiliensis (rubber tree). The record is from RNAcentral. Lineage: Eukaryota; Viridiplantae; Streptophyta; Magnoliopsida; Malpighiales; Euphorbiaceae.
CUCUCUCUCUCUCUCUCUCUAUUCGUUCCUUUUUGGGUUUUGGCUUUCUGAGUUUCUACGAUUAGCAUAUAUCGGUUUUGAGAAAUCGGAGAUAGAGAUAGCGUUUGGACGAUUUGGUUGGACUUGAUAAGAGCUAUUAAGGGACAUCAUAAGAGGUACUGUGUGUCUUUGUGGUGUUAUACAUUACACGUUUGAUGGGUUUAUCUGUUUAUCUUGUUCUUAACCAAUGAAAUCUACUUUAAUUGCAUUAUGCAUAAUGGCUGUGUAAUGUGAUGAAUAUAUGGUAAAUCCUUAAUUAGAUUUAAUUGUGUGUAAUAUGGACAAUUUUGCAUAUGAUCAUAAUGUUUUUAGCCCCCAUAAUAUUGUUUGUUGAUUUGUCUUCUAUUGAGGAUAUUGCAUAUGAUCACUUGAUAGUAAUGCAGAUGGCUUUUCUUUGUUAAUACUUUCUUGUUUUCGUAGUUCAUCUAUUUCUUGUUUGGCGGUGUUAUUGAUGGACAUUGUCUCCAGUCGAAGUGCGGUUGGUGUUGGUGUUCUGGUAGAUGAAAUUGAAAGCAAUUUUCGCGAGUUUGUGCAUGUAGAAGAUGUACAAGAAACAUGUGCAUCUGAUGUAGAUGGUGCCGUUGAUGCAGAGGAGAGACUGGGAGAGCUUGAGCCACAUGGGCGAGCACCUGUUAGGGAGGCUUUAGAAAAGAGUGCAAAAUUGCUAUCUGAAGAAGAUGAUGAGCCUGAAACAGCGUUGCCACUACUUUUCUCCGAGGAACCCACGAGGCCUGCAUUGCCUGUAUGCUUUUUUCAUUUUGCAGUGGCAUGCUUAAUGUAGUUUAUAUUGGAAAAAUGCAUGUCCUAUUAUUGUUUAAUUUUCUAUACCUUCAGACAUACAAGUCUUACUCUUGUUUAAUUUCCCAGAUCUUUCUAUUAACAGUUUACUUGAUGUUUUCUUUCUUUGAAGCUUGUGUCUGCCAUGAAAGGUAGUAGAGAAAAACUGGGAGCAUCCCCAAGGAAGCUGACUGUGAGUUGGGCACCUGAUGUGUAUGAUCCGAUUCCUAAUUCAUUAUCACACACUGUUAAAAGCAAUCAGAAGAAGUCUAGGAAAGAUAAAGGUAGCAACAAGAAAAAUGGAAAGAAGAGCCAGAAGGGCAACUCAAAAGGUGGUAAGGACAAGAAGCAAUUCCGCAAAACUGGUGGGAGUGCGAGGUUGGAUAAGUGUUACAAAAUAAUGAACACUCUUGAUGCCACUGAAGACCUUGGUGAAUUUGAUGUUGGUAGCCCAGAUUACUGUGGAAGUAGCUUCCUCAAAAAAUCUCCCACAAACUUUCACUACAGUAUUGCGGAGGCAUUGUGAUAUCACAUCUUCGUUCUGCUGGUAACUUGUUUGAAGCUUUUGUGAAUAAAUAAAUUUAACUAUGGAGCUUUUGACUGGAAGAUGUACCUAUUUUACUCGUGUUUUUGUUGACAUUAUAACUAUAUCAACUCAUAUUGGAUUUCUGGUACUUGUCCAAUUGUCUUGUUUAUGCAACAGCACUAGGUUAUUAAUUUGCAA